AGGGGGUGGGGUGGGGGGUGGCAUCAUCCCUAUCAAUCGGCGGCGACAUGCUCUUUUUAUGUCCCGCGCUGUGAAGUUUCCGUCGGUGGGGAGCGAGCAGCCUGGGAUCAGCGGGAAGAUGGAGCUGAGAGACUCCGAGUGAGCCAGGGGCAAACGCAGGAUUUUUAAAGGCGGCGUUUCCAUAUGAUGAAGUGUUCUCUCACAGCCACUGUGACACCCCCCGUGUUCUGUCUCUGUCACUGUGUCAUUCCCACCCACCCCUGUUCUGUCCCAGUCACUGUGUCACCUCCACGCCCCCUCCCCCCCCGCACCUAUCUUCUUUCCAAGUCGCUGUGUCAAAUUCCCCCACAUUCUCUUCCAGCCACUGUGCCCCCCUCCCCUGGAAUCCCUGCAGCCAGUUCAAUGUACAGAAUAAUCUAUGCGGGUUGCGUCUGGAAUACAGACCGUCAGAAUGCCGGCAGCAGGAUACCAACAGUGAAAAUACCGGCAAUCUUUGGAGGUGAUGCAGAAGGCACAUGAGACAAAUGUUGGAGCAGUGGGAAAAACUAUUAAGAGAAAGAACAAAAAGAGAAAAAAAGAAGAAGAGUAAGACUGGAGAUGGACCUAGAAAGUCUUGUUGGAGGAGAUAAGAGUAUAGGGAUCAUCACCUGAAUUUACAGGAGAAGCAGAAGGAGGCCUCAGUUAUGAAGCAUGCUUAUGGACAGAUGGUAAACACACAUGAUCCCAUUGUCACAGGAAGAUCUUACCAGAACUGUAAAAACGAAAGCGAAUCCAUGUGGUCGUCUGAGAAACAUCCUUGGGUAUAAGGAAGUUCUUGAGGAACACCAAUCUCUUUGUGCGGAAGCAACAGUCUCAGUCAGUGCAGUAUCACUAAGAGAGAACCCCUACUUUUGUGGGUAUAAGUAAGUUUUUGAGGAACACUUUUGACCAUAA
This is a long non-coding RNA of Pseudophryne corroboree (corroboree frog), 933 nucleotides long. RefSeq lists it as uncharacterized. NCBI's taxonomy places the organism in Eukaryota, Metazoa, Chordata, Amphibia, Anura, Myobatrachidae. The transcript is spliced from 3 exons. The record is from RefSeq and is a predicted model, not a curated record.